Oncorhynchus keta (chum salmon) is the source of this 2808-nucleotide long non-coding RNA. RefSeq lists it as uncharacterized. Lineage: Eukaryota; Metazoa; Chordata; Actinopteri; Salmoniformes; Salmonidae. The transcript is spliced from 8 exons. The record is from RefSeq and is a predicted model, not a curated record.
ACAUCUAGUACUAUCCCCAAGGUUUGGAAGGAGGUCCCGGUACUCCCCCUAACGAUUAUAUCUAGUACUGUCCCCAAGGUUUGGAAGGAGGCCCAGGUACUCCCCCUAACGAUUAUAUCUAGUACUAUCCCCAAGGUUUGGAAGGAGGCCCAGGUACUCCCCCUAACGAUUAUAUCUAGUACUAUCCCCAAGGUUUGGAAGGAGGCCCAGGUACUCCCCCUAACCUGACGAUUAUAUCUAGUACUAUCCCCAAGGUUUGGAAGGAGGCCCAGGUACUCCCCCUAACGAUUAUAUCUAGUACUAUCCCCAAGGUUUGGAAGGAGGCCCAGGUACUCCCCCUAACGAUUAUAUCUAGUACUAUCCCCAAGGUUUGGAAGGAGGCCCAGGUACUCCCCCUAACGAUUAUAUCUAGUACUAUCCCCAAGGUUUGGAAGGAGGCCCAGGUACUCCCCCUAACCUGACGAUUAUAUCUAGUACUAUCCCCAAGGUUUGGAAGGAGGUCCCGGUACUCCCCCUAACGAUUAUAUCUAGUACUAUCCCCAAGGUUUGGAAGGAGGUCCCGGUACUCCCCCUAACGAUUAUAUCUAGUACUAUCCCCAAGGUUUGGAAGGAGGCCCAGGUACUCCCCCUAACGAUUAUAUCUAGUACUAUCCCCAAGGUUUGGAAGGAGGUCCCGGUACUCCCCCUAACGAUUAUAUCUAGUACUGUCCCCAAGGUUUGGAAGGAGGCCCAGGUACUCCCCCUAACGAUUAUAUCUAGUACUAUCCCCAAGGUUUGGAAGGAGGUCCCGGUACUCCCCCUAACGAUUAUAUCUAGUACUGUCCCCAAGGUUUGGAAGGAGGCCCAGGUACUCCCCCUAACGAUUAUAUCUAGUACUAUCCCCAAGGUUUGGAAGGAGGUCCCGGUACUCCCCCUAACGAUUAUAUCUAGUACUAUCCCCAAGGUUUGGAAGGAGGCCCAGGUACUCCCCCUAACGAUUAUAUCUAGUACUGUCCCCAAGGUUUGGAAGGAGUCCCAGGUACUCCCCCUAACGAUUAUAUCUAGUACUAUCCCCAAGGUUUGGAAGGAGGCCCAGGUACUCCCCCUAACGAUUAUAUCUAGUACUAUCCCCAAGGUUUGGAAGGAGACCCAGGUACUCCCCCUAACGAUUAUAUCUAGUACUAUCCCCAAGGUUUGGAAGGAGGCCCAGGUACUCCCCCUAACGAUUAUAUCUAGUACUAUCCCCAAGGUUUGGAAGGAGGUCCCGGUACUCCCCCUAACGAUUAUAUCUAGUACUAUCCCCAAGGUUUGGAAGGAGGCCAGGUACUCCCCCUAACGAUUAUAUCUAGUACUAUCCCCAAGGUUUGGAAGGAGGCCCAGGUACUCCCCCUAACGAUUAUAUCUAGUACUAUCCCCAAGGUUUGGAAGGAGGCCCAGGUACUCCCCCUAACGAUUAUAUCUAGUACUGUCCCCAAGGUUUGGAAGGAGGCCCAGGUACUCCCCCUAACGAUUAUAUCUAGUACUAUCCCCAAGGUUUGGAAGGAGGCCCAGGUACUCCCCCUAACGAUUAUAUCUAGUACCAUCCCUAAACAAAUGGCAACAUCAUCCAUGUGAACUCGGCUGCUACUUUACUUACAGGCGACAGUGUUCGUACUCAUCACUACAUUCACUGCCAGAAAGUUGAUUGUCCCUCUUUGAUUUCAUGUAGAUUGAUAGCAAUGCAUGUUAAAUAUUUUAACAAUAAGUGUGUACCUAACAUCACUACUAAGCUUUAGACAUACGAGUCACCACUUUUAGUAACAAUUUUCAAAAUGUUCUGAAAUGUGAUGUGCUGGUGCCUCUUGGGUAAUUCAGGGAGCUGAUUGAGGAUCUUAUUACUGAUGAAUGUGAUGUCCUGGUGCCUCUUGGGUAAUUCAGGAAGCUGAGGAUCUUAUUACUGAUGAAUGUGAUGUCCUGGUGCCUCUUGGGUAAUUCAGGGAGCUGAUUGAGGAUCUUGUUACUGAUGAAUGUGAUGUCCUGGUGCCUCUUGGGUAAUUCAGACAGCUGAUUGAGGAUCUUAUUACUGAUGAAUGUGAUGUCCUGGUGCCUCUUGGGUAAUUCAGGAAGCUGAUUGAGGAUCUUAUUACUGAUGAAUGUGAUGUUCUGGUGCCUCUUGGGUAAUUCAGACAGCUGAUUGAGGAUCUUAUUACUGAUGAAUGUGAUGUUCUGGUGCCUCUUGGGUAAUUCAGGAAGCUGAUUGAGGAUCUUAUUACUGAUGAAUGUGAUGUUCUGGUGCCUCUUGGGUAAUUCAGACAGCUGAUUGAGGAUCUUGUUACUGAUGAAUGUGAUGUCCUGGUGCCUCUUGGGUAAUUCAGACAGCUGAUUGAGGAUCUUGUUACUGAUGAAUGUGAUGUUCUGGUGCCUCUUGGGUAAUUCAGACAGCUGAUUGAGGAUCUUAUUACUGAUGAAUGUGAUGUUCUGGUGCCUCUUGGGUAAUUCAGACAGCUGAUUGAGGAUCUUAUUACUGAUGAAUGUGAUGUUCUGGUGCCUCUUGGGUAAUUCAGGAAGCUGAUUGAGGAUCUUAUUACUGAUGAAUGUGAUGUCCUGGUGCCUCUUGGGUAAUUCAGACAGCUGAUUGAGGAUCUUAUUACUGAUGAAUGUGAUGUCCUGGUGCCUCUUGGGUAAUUCAGGAAGCUGAUUGAGGAUCUUAUUACUGAUGAACGUGUUUUAUUUAUCUUGGUGCAUUUUGUAUUUUUUUUAAUUUCUGUAAUUCAUCUGUAAAAAGAGACCUUGGUCUCAGUUUGAAUCCCUGAAAAAAAUAAAAGGUUAAAUAAAAAAUAAAUGUACAAA